RNAcentral lists this small RNA (390 nucleotides) under Pongo abelii (Sumatran orangutan). Its description in RNAcentral is "retained intron". The record is from RNAcentral. Lineage: Eukaryota; Metazoa; Chordata; Mammalia; Primates; Hominidae.
UUUCUUUAGGUUUUUAAGUUCUGUUUUCAUACCUUUAUAUAGUUUUUAUUUUUAAAACGAAAAUUAUUUUUUCCUUCCUAGAUCCAGAAUAUUAAACAGACGAACAGUGCUCUCAAAGAAAAACUUGAUGGUGGAAUAGAACCAUAUCGACUUCCAGAGGUCAUUCAGAAAUGUAACGCACGUUGGACUACAGAAGAGCAGCUUCUCGCCGUACAAGGUAGGGGGAAGUUCUUCUAAAGAGUUUAGGAGGCCGGCUGUGGUGGCUCACACCUGUAAUCCCAACACUUUGGAAGGUUGACGCAUUUGCUUGAGCCCAGGAGCUCAAGGCUGCAUUGAUCCAUGAUCACACCACCGCAUUCCAGCCUGGACAACAGAGGGAGACCCUGACUU